GCAAGUAACACCAACUUCAUAUACUUGUGUGUUAUAAAUUAGGAUAUCUUGAAUACAUGGUGACCAUAAACCAAACUAAUAUGGCUUCUAAAACAACUUCACUUAUUGGGGUUGCCCUCAUACUUUUUGUGAUUUCAUUGUGUACCAUAAAACUAGUUGGAGAUUCUGAGCUUCAUGCAAGGUCGUAUGAAAUGGCAAGUAGUAGAAGGUUGCUUGGGGAAUCAAAUCUUAUAAAUCAAAACAAGCAAGCAUUUGAUAUGCCUCAUGGCGGAAACUAUGGACCUAGAAAGGGGGCCAAUAAAGGCCACGGUUCUCCUUAAUUUUUUUUCAAAAAAUUUAUACUAUAGUAUUUUAUUAUAUUAAUGGUUUAUUUUCAUUUUUAUUCCUCUAUUUUCUUAAACUCACAAAAAUAGCCCCCUUUUUAUAUUUCAACUUUUUGUGCUCUAUUUAUAAAUUUGUUGUAAAUUUGAUCUUAGUGAAUGUUAUUCCAAAUAAAAAUUGUAUUCUUUGUACUAAAAAAGUGAUUAUAUUGUCUCAAUAUUCAAUAUUAAAUUUAAUGACAAAAUAUUUCUUUUGAGACUAAAAUUCACCUUUUUUUUUAUGCAUGGAUGUCGCAAUUUUAAGGCACAAUGCAUGAGUUGAGACCAAAAUUACAAUAAACGUGAAAAUAAAUAGGCCAAAAAGUUCAACUAAAAAAAAGUGGCUCAUAAAAUGCAAAUUCACAAAUAUUAACUUUGGAUUUAUUUUAUAAUUUGUUGUAUGUUCAGUUCCCCUAAACUGAAUUCCUACCUCCGUCCCUGACCAUCCAUGAUCUUGAUCUUGUCUUACUAUUAGAUUUAAUGGCUCUGCUUUGUUGAUGUAAAUUGUAAUCGCAAGGUUUUGUUUCUAUAUAUGGAAAAUGCUAAAUAGUGUCUCGGACACUAGUUAAGCAUAUUAAUAAAGAAAAUUGUCUUAAAAUUUGAGCAUGGAAUAUUUUAAAAGUGUAAAAAGUUAUCUUAGCCUAAAGAUAUAUAUAGAUUGGUGUUGUUGUACCCCUAGGCCAGUAAAUUUGUAUCAUCAAAGGAGAAAAAAAUGUUGUGUAAUCAAACUCUAUCAUCUUAAAAUUUUAAUUAGGUGUAUUUCAAUCUUAUAUGGGACUGACUUGUAACUUUGAUGUGGAGAAAGGAAGUUACCUAUGAGAGUUUAAGAUGAUAAUAUCUGAUAGGUCAGUCAGUUUUGUUGUGAAGAAGCAAAAUAAAAAAUGAAUUGGAAAUGGUCAAAGAAGAAAAGGCAAAAAAUUCCAAUUUGGAGAGAAGACUUGUGAUAGUGAAAGAUCAAAGAAAAUGAAGACACAAACAACAGAAGAAGAAAAAACAUGCAGAAACAUUAUGAAGUACAAAAAGAUAAUUUUUUUUUUCCUUAAUUUGAUGAGAUUUUAAUAAUUUGUAUUUAGAUUAUUUGAGACAUUAUGAAUUUAAUAAGAUAACCCUCUUGACUUUUGA
Trifolium pratense (red clover) is the source of this 1481-nucleotide long non-coding RNA. RefSeq lists it as uncharacterized. The record is from RefSeq and is a predicted model, not a curated record. Lineage: Eukaryota; Viridiplantae; Streptophyta; Magnoliopsida; Fabales; Fabaceae. The transcript is spliced from 2 exons.